AUUGAAUGGACGCAAAUCAUUACUAGGAUGGUAAUGACUAAGGAAAGACAAUGGACACCUCAGGAUUGAGGCAUGGAAUAAACAUCAGGAUGAUGUAAUGGACACCGCUCAUGGAACAAGUGAUGCGCGCUAAUUAGGAUGAAUUAGCAGGCUAGGAUAAGGCCAAGGACACCGCUAGGAUGGCGAUGAAAAGGAAUACGCUGAAGGAUACAGCACUGCUAUCAAGGAUUUGAUGCAUGGAGCACUAUUAGUAGCCGGAUUGCUGCGAGUAAGACUAUAGCCCCGAAGAGCUUUUGCUCCUCGGGGUUUUUCUUUU
RNAcentral lists this non-coding RNA (316 nucleotides) under Vibrio rumoiensis 1S-45. Lineage: Bacteria; Pseudomonadati; Pseudomonadota; Gammaproteobacteria; Vibrionales; Vibrionaceae. The record is from RNAcentral.